Molecule: long non-coding RNA, 343 nt
Filed under: Gossypium barbadense (sea-island cotton)
Lineage: Eukaryota; Viridiplantae; Streptophyta; Magnoliopsida; Malvales; Malvaceae
Description: long non-coding RNA (GBAR_LNC018070)
Source: RNAcentral
AGGUACUUGGUGAUGCAUAAAUACCACUUAAAUUACCCCAAGUGUUUGAACACAACAAAUUACAUAAAUUGAAUCAAAUAUAUAUCUUGGCUUUUGAGUACAGGUGUGGCCGCCUCUUGGGAAGAAGAAGUUCGAGACUCUCUCAUACCUGCCCGAUCUUACUCCCGUACAGUUGGCUAAGGAAGUAGAUUACCUUCUUCGCUCUAAAUGGAUUCCUUGCUUGGAAUUCGAAUUAGAGGUGUUUUGGAGCUCUAAAUUAUUCCAUUCCUCCUCUUAAUUUUUUUAGUGGGAUAUUUGAGUUGAUUAAGUGUGUUUUAUAUGUAUGUGCAGGAGGGAUUCGUGC